This 472-nucleotide ribosomal RNA is filed under the name uncultured bacterium. RNAcentral's name for it is "SSU rRNA". It matches the Rfam family "Bacterial small subunit ribosomal RNA", at positions 26 to 518 of the family's 1533-position model. The record is from RNAcentral.
AGGAUGAACGCUGGCGGCGUGCCUAACACAUGCAAGUCGAACGUCCUGUCUCGCAAGAGGCAGGGAGUGGCGGACGGGUGAGUACCACGUGGGUGAUCUACCGUGAGGUGAGGAAUACCGGCGAGAAAUCGCCGACAAGACCGCAUAGCCUCGGUGCAAGCCGAGGAAAGCUCUCUCGAGAGAGGGAGCGCCACACGAGGAGCCUGCGCCCGAUUAGCUAGCUGGUGGAGUAACGGUUCACCAGGGCGACGAUCGGUAGCUGGUCUGAGAGGACGAUCAGCCACACUGGGAUUGAGAACGGCCCAGACUCCUACGGGAGGCAGCAGUGAGGAAUUUUCCGCAAUGGGCGAAAGCCUGACGGAGCGACGCCGCGUGUGGGAAGAAGGCCUUCGGGUCGUAAACCACUGUCGAAGGGACGUAUACUGAAGGUACCCUUGGAGGAAGCCCGGCGUAACUACGUGCCAGCAGCCGC